GUGGAUUAGAUACCCUGGUAGUCCUGGCAGUAAACGGUGCACGUUUGGUGUGGGCGGGUUCAGACCCCGUCCGUGCCGGAGCUAACGCGUUAAACGUGCCGCCUGGGAAGUACGGUCGCAAGAUUAAAACUCAAAGAAAUUGACGGGGGCCCGCACAAGCGGUGGAGUAUGUGGCUUAAUUCGAUGCAACGCGAAGAACCUUACCUGGCCUUGACAUGCAUCUCUAAGUUAAUGAAAGUUAGCGACUUGGUAGCAAUAUCAAGAAUUUGCACAGGUGCUGCAUGGCUGUCGUCAGCU
RNAcentral lists this ribosomal RNA (297 nucleotides) under uncultured bacterium. RNAcentral describes it as "partial 16S ribosomal RNA". It matches the Rfam family "Bacterial small subunit ribosomal RNA", at positions 773 to 1060 of the family's 1533-position model. The record is from RNAcentral.